AACGAACGCUGGCGGCAUGCCUAACACAUGCAAGUCGAACGAGACCUUCGGGUCUAGUGGCGCACGGGUGCGUAACGCGUGGGAACCUGCCCUUAGGUUCGGAAUAACUCCCCGAAAGGGGUGCUAAUACCGGAUAAUGUCUUCGGACCAAAGAUUUAUCGCCUUUGGAUGGGCCCGCGUUGGAUUAGCUAGUUGGUAGGGUAAAAGCCUACCAAGGCGACGAUCCAUAGCUGGUCUGAGAGGAUGAUCAGCCACACUGGGACUGGGACACGGCCCAGACUCCUCCGGGGGGCAGCAGUGGGGAAUAUUGGACAUUGGGCGAAAGCCUGAUCCAGCAAGGCCGCGUGGGUGAUGAAGGCCUUAGGGUUGUAAAGCUCUUUACCCGGGAUGAUAAUGACAGUACCGGGAGAAUAAGCUCCGGCUAACUCCGUG
This 432-nucleotide ribosomal RNA is filed under the name uncultured bacterium. Its description in RNAcentral is "partial 16S ribosomal RNA". It matches the Rfam family "Bacterial small subunit ribosomal RNA", at positions 29 to 507 of the family's 1533-position model. The record is from RNAcentral.